This 476-nucleotide ribosomal RNA is filed under the name uncultured organism. RNAcentral describes it as "partial 16S ribosomal RNA". It matches the Rfam family "Bacterial small subunit ribosomal RNA", at positions 332 to 799 of the family's 1533-position model. The record is from RNAcentral.
UACACUCCUGCGGGAGGCAGCAGUGGGGAAUAUUGCACAAUGGGCGCAAGCCUGAUGCAGCCAUGCCGCGUGUAUGAAGAAGGCCUUCGGGUUGUAAAGUACUUUCAGCGGGGAGGAAGGCGAUAAGGUUAAUAACCUUGUUGAUUGACGUUACCCGCAGAAGAAGCACCGGCUAACUCCGUGCCAGCAGCCGCGGUAAUACGGAGGGUGCAAGCGUUAAUCGGAAUUACUGGGCGUAAAGCGCACGCAGGCGGUCUGUCAAGUCGGAUGUGAAAUCCCCGGGCUCAACCUGGGAACUGCAUUCGAAACUGGCAGGCUAGAGUCUUGUAGAGGGGGGUAGAAUUCCAGGUGUAGCGGUGAAAUGCGUAGAGAUCUGGAGGAAUACCGGUGGCGAAGGCGGCCCCCUGGACAAAGACUGACGCUCAGGUGCGAAAGCGUGGGGAGCAAACAGGAUUAGAAACCCGAGUAGUCCCAUG